Molecule: ribosomal RNA, 495 nt
Filed under: uncultured bacterium
Lineage: Bacteria
Description: bacterial SSU rRNA
Rfam family: Bacterial small subunit ribosomal RNA
Source: RNAcentral
GAUGAACGCUGGCGGCGUGCUUAACACAUGCAAGUCGAACGGAGUUGUUUCGCUGACGAGGCUUCGGCCAAAUCUUGAAACAACUUAGUGGCGGACGGGUGAGUAACGCGUGGGUAACCUGCCAUAUACAGGGGGAUAACACUUAGAAAUAGGUGCUAAUACCGCAUAAGCGCACAGAGCUGCAUGGCUCAGUGUGAAAAACUCCGGUGGUAUAUGAUGGAUCCGCGUCUGAUUAGCUAGUUGGUGAGGUAACGGCCCACCAAGGCGACGAUCAGUAGCCGGACUGAGAGGUUGAACGGCCACAUUGGGACUGAGAUACGGCCCAGACUCCUACGGGAGCAGCAGUCGGGAAUAUUGCGCAAUGGAGGAAACUCUGACGCAGUGACGCCGCGUAUAGGAAGAAGGUUUUCGGAUUGUAAAACUAUUGUCGUUAGGGAAGAUACAAGACAGUACCUAAGGAGGAAGCCCCCGGGCUAAACUAUGUGCCAGCAGCCG